Molecule: ribosomal RNA, 253 nt
Filed under: uncultured bacterium
Lineage: Bacteria
Description: partial 16S ribosomal RNA
Rfam family: Bacterial small subunit ribosomal RNA
Source: RNAcentral
UACGUAGGUGGCAAGCGUUGUCCGGAUUUACUGGGUGUAAAGGGCGUGUAGCCGGGCUGACAAGUCAGAUGUGAAAUCCCGCGGCUCAACCGCGGAACUGCAUUUGAAACUGUCAGUCUUGAGUACCGGAGAGGUCAUCGGAAUUCCUUGUGUAGCGGUGAAAUGCGUAGAUAUAAGGAAGAACACCAGUGGCGAAGGCGGAUGACUGGACGGCAACUGACGGUGAGGCGCGAAAGCGUGGGGAGCAAACAGG